UCUAUAAAUUCAAAAGAGGAUCUGUUCCAACGUUUUUGAAGAUCCUUUCGUGUAUCGUGUUUUUAUAAUUUGGGCCAUAUAGCCAAUGAUUGAAUUUACUGCAGUAAAGAAUGAAAUUAUUAUCUUUUCUUUAGAAUCUUUGACAUUCAUACAGAUGUUAGAGUGUUACUCGAAUAUUGGAGCCCUUAUCAUGGUCUUAAAAAACCUAUGGACCCGGAUAGGAUUAAGGGUUGAAACCUCAAGAAAGUUGUUUAUUUGUGGGAUAUUUUAUGCUGCUCUCACAACCAGGGUCCAUAGCAAAGUCCCGUUUUUAUCAUUUUUUUUACUAGGCUAAAGGUUCCCGAGUUGUCUUCUACGAGUAUAUCUCGAAUGAUUCUAUCACUAUGUAACAUAAAUUUGAGCAACUUGCCUAAACACCUCUAGAUAAUGGUAUUGAAGGCUAUCUAGAUAUUCUCAGAAGUAUUACACGUUCGAACAACUUUUAAGGUUGUCGGUAAGAAGAUCGACCCUUUUUACUAAUAUUAUAUUUUAUUCUAUAAAUAGCAACGAAGCUUGAAGAGAUUCGAAUAAUGACUAAAAUAUUUUUCUUUUUUUUCAGUCCCAUACUCAGCAACACACAGCACACGUUUUAGGAUUAUUGAAAUAUACACCAGUAAUAUAUACAAAGUACUCAGGUACACCGAACAGAUUUACAAUUAUAUUCACACAUUUAAGAGAGUAGAUCAGGAAAGUAAGGAAACUUACUUGUAACGAGAAACGACGAUGUCCAGCCUUUCGUCCACCACGUCGUUUACUUAUAUGCGGAUUGUCUUGACUUCAGCACGUAUAUCCUCUGGGCUCAUUUCGGCAAUUGUUAGUUCACCAAUAUCGGGAUCACCCAAACAUAGACCAGCAUAACCACCGCCCAGACGUUGCGGAUCGUUGACCUUGAAAGCAUCCACAGGUAAACGUAU
Molecule: long non-coding RNA, 953 nt
Organism: Zeugodacus cucurbitae (melon fly)
Lineage: Eukaryota; Metazoa; Arthropoda; Insecta; Diptera; Tephritidae
Exons: 3
Source: RefSeq, a predicted model, not a curated record